AUUGAACGCUGGCGGCAGGCCUAACACAUGCAAGUCGAGCGGCAGCGACUUAACUGAACCUUCGGGGAACGUUAAGGGCGGCGAGCGGCGGACGGGUGAGUAAUGCCUGGGAAUAUGCCCUGAUGUGGGGGAUAACUAUUGGAAACGAUAGCUAAUACCGCAUAAUCUCUUCGGAGCAAAGAGGGGGACCUUCGGGCCUCUCGCGUCAGGAUUAGCCCAGGUGGGAUUAGCUUGUUGGUGAGGUAAUGGCUCACCAAGGCUACGAUCCCUAGCUGGUCUGAGAGGAUGAUCAGCCACACUGGAACUGAGACACGGUCCAGACUCCUACGGGAGGCAGCAGUGGGGAAUAUUGCACAAUGGGGGAAACCCUGAUGCAGCCAUGCCGCGUGUGUGAAGAAGGCCUUCGGGUUGUAAAGCACUUUCAGUAGGGAGGAAGGUAGUGUAGUUAACACCUGCACUAUUUGACGUUACCUACAGAAGAAGCACCGGCUAACUCCGUGCCAGCAGCCGCGGUAAUACGGAGGGUGCGAGCGUUAAUCGGAAUUACUGGGCGUAAAGCGCAUGCAGGCGGCCUGUUAAGUCAGAUGUGAAAGCCCGGGGCUUAACCUCGGAAUUGCAUUUGAAACUGGCAGGCUAGAGUCUUGUAGAGGGGGGUAGAAUUUCAGGUGUAGCGGUGAAAUGCGUAGAGAUCUGAAGGAAUACCAGUGGCGAAGGCGGCCCCCUGGACAAAGACUGACGCUCAGAUGCGAAAGCGUGGGGAGCAAACAGG
Molecule: ribosomal RNA, 769 nt
Filed under: uncultured bacterium
Lineage: Bacteria
Description: bacterial SSU rRNA
Rfam family: Bacterial small subunit ribosomal RNA
Source: RNAcentral